AGUGAACGCUGGCGGUAGGCCUAACACAUGCAAGUCGAACGGCAGCACAGUAAGAGCUUUCUCUUAAGGGUGGCGAGUGGCGGACGGGUAAGGCAUACAUCGGCUUCUACUUUUUCGUGGGUGAUAACGUAGAACAAGUUACGAUAAUACCGCAUACGUCCUACGGGUGAAAGCAGUGGAUCUUCGGACCUUGGGCGAUUGAAUGAGCCGAUGUCGGAUUAGCUAGUUGGCGGGGUAAAGGCACACCAAGGCGACGAUGCGUAGCUGGUCUGAGAGGGUGAUCAGCCACACUGGAACUGAGACACGGUCCAGACUCCUACGGGAGGCAGCAGUGGGGAAUAUUGGACAAUGGGCGCAAGCCUGAUCCAGCCAUGCCGCGUGGGUGAUGAAGGCCUUCGGGUUGUAAAGCCCUUUUGUUGGGAAAGAAAAGCAGCAGAUUAAUACCCCGCUGUUCUGACGGUACCCAAAGAAUAAGCACCGGCUAACUUCGUG
RNAcentral lists this ribosomal RNA (492 nucleotides) under uncultured bacterium. Its description in RNAcentral is "partial 16S ribosomal RNA". It matches the Rfam family "Bacterial small subunit ribosomal RNA", at positions 29 to 507 of the family's 1533-position model. The record is from RNAcentral.